Molecule: ribosomal RNA, 582 nt
Filed under: uncultured fungus
Lineage: Eukaryota; Fungi
Description: eukaryotic LSU rRNA
Rfam family: 5.8S ribosomal RNA (bases 211-364)
Source: RNAcentral
AGUCGUAACAAGGUCUCCGUAGGUGAACCUGCGGAGGGAUCAUUACACAAAUAUGAAGGCGGGCUGGAACCUCUCGGGGUUACAGCCUUGCUGAAUUAUUCACCCUUGUCUUUUGCGUACUUCUUGUUUCCUUGGUGGGUUCGCCCACCACUAGGACAAACAUAAACCUUUUGUAAUUGCAAUCAGCGUCAGUAACAAAUUAAUAAUUACAACUUUCAACAACGGAUCUCUUGGUUCUGGCAUCGAUGAAGAACGCAGCGAAAUGCGAUAAGUAGUGUGAAUUGCAGAAUUCAGUGAAUCAUCGAAUCUUUGAACGCACAUUGCGCCCUUUGGUAUUCCAAAGGGCAUGCCUGUUCGAGCGUCAUUUGUACCCUCAAGCUUUGCUUGGUGUUGGGCGUCUUGUCUCUAGCUUUGCUGGAGACUCGCCUUAAAGUAAUUGGCAGCCGGCCUACUGGUUUCGGAGCGCAGCACAAGUCGCACUCUCUAUCAGCAAAGGUCUAGCAUCCAUUAAGCCUUUUUUCUCAACUUUUGACCUCGGAUCAGGUAGGGAUACCCGCUGAACUUAAGCAUAUCAAUAAGUCG